UACGUAGGGUGCAAGCGUUGUCCGGAAUCAUUGGGCGUAAAGAGCUCGUAGGCGGCUCAGUAAGUCGGGUGUGAAACCCUCAGGCUCAACCUGGGGACGCCACCCGAUACUGCUGUGGCUAGAGUCCAGUAGGGGAGUGUGGAAUUCCCGGUGUAGCGGUGAAAUGCGCAGAUAUCGGGAGGAACACCAGCGGCGAGGGCGGCACUCUGGGCUGGUACUGACGCUGAGGAGCGAAAGCGUGGGUAGCAAACAGG
RNAcentral lists this ribosomal RNA (254 nucleotides) under uncultured bacterium. RNAcentral's name for it is "partial 16S ribosomal RNA". It matches the Rfam family "Bacterial small subunit ribosomal RNA", at positions 524 to 776 of the family's 1533-position model. The record is from RNAcentral.